Molecule: long non-coding RNA, 695 nt
Filed under: Bos taurus (domestic cattle)
Lineage: Eukaryota; Metazoa; Chordata; Mammalia; Artiodactyla; Bovidae
Description: long non-coding RNA NONBTAT009281
Source: RNAcentral
UGAAAACUUUCAAUGUUUUAUUUUUGACUGCAGCUGUUUACAGAAAUAUAGUUGCGAGUAUACAAAUGUUCCAAUAGAAGCAAAAUAUCUUUUUAAUAUUUAACAAGUUAUCACAGAUAGCUAAAAACAUAGAUGCAAAUGAAGUUCCCCCAGAGAAUAAACUGAAGUAUCUGGUGUCAGUGCUCUGAAAUACCAACUAUGAAAGCCAUAUACACAAAAAUGUAACCCUUAUAUCAUUGCAGGACAAUGGAAGAAGGCAGCUCAGUGGUUGAUCAGUGUACUCAAGCAAAUAAAAUUAAAUUAAAAACUUAAAUGGCAGAAUGGUAGCUAAACCACUUGAGAACAGGUUAAUGAAAUAACUGUAGUAUACUUAUUAAAAGACUAAAACAAAUGAAUGAACUCAGUAAAAAGUAUCCCAAAAAAGUAAUAAAUACUUGGAGCUUAUCAAUUCAAAGUAAGGGAACAAGGUGAAGCAGAUACAUUCAUUAGAUCAAAAGAAAUUAGCUCAAUGUCACUGGAGUCAGUUUGUCACUGAAAGUCAUAAACACUUCUGUGCAGGAUAGUUCUUUAAUCUGAUUCCAAAGUCACUCUCCAACAUCUGAGAAGGCAUGUUUGUGUACGUGUGUGUGUGUUUGUGUGUGCUGUCCUGAGGCUCAUUAGCUAAAAUAAUAAUAGUUAUACAAACUAUCUAAAAU